AGUCGAGCGGUAGAGAGAAGCUUGCUUCUCUUGAGAGCGGCGGACGGGUGAGUAAUGCCUAGGAAUCUGCCUGGUAGUGGGGGAUAACGUUCGGAAACGGACGCUAAUACCGCAUACGUCCUACGGGAGAAAGCAGGGGACCUUCGGGCCUUGCGCUAUCAGAUGAGCCUAGGUCGGAUUAGCUAGUUGGUGAGGUAAUGGCUCACCAAGGCAACGAUCCGUAACUGGUCUGAGAGGAUGAUCAGUCACACUGGAACUGAGACACGGUCCAGACUCCUACGGGAGGCAGCAGUGGGGAAUAUUGGACAAUGGGCGAAAGCCUGAUCCAGCCAUGCCGCGUGUGUGAAGAAGGUCUUCGGAUUGUAAAGCACUUUAAGUUGGGAGGAAGGGCAUUAACCUAAUACGUUAGUGUUUUGACGUUACCGACAGAAUAAGCACCGGCUAACUCUGUGCCAGCAGCCGCGGUAAUACAGAGGGUGCAAGCGUUAAUCGGAAUUACUGGGCGUAAAGCGCGCGUAGGUGGUUUGUUAAGUUGGAUGUGAAAUCCCCGGGCUCAACCUGGGAACUGCAUUCAAAACUGACUGACUAGAGUAUGGUAGAGGGUGGUGGAAUUUCCUGUGUAGCGGUGAAAUGCGUAGAUAUAGGAAGGAACACCAGUGGCGAAGGCGACCACCUGGACUAAUACUGACACUGAGGUGCGAAAGCGUGGGGAGCAAACAGGAUUAGAUACCUGGUAGUCCACGCCGUAAACGAUGUCAACUAGCCGUUGGGAGCCUUGAGCUCUUAGUGGCGCAGCUAACGCAUUAUGUG
RNAcentral lists this ribosomal RNA (810 nucleotides) under Pseudomonas sp. C2. RNAcentral describes it as "bacterial SSU rRNA". It matches the Rfam family "Bacterial small subunit ribosomal RNA", at positions 60 to 866 of the family's 1533-position model. Lineage: Bacteria; Pseudomonadati; Pseudomonadota; Gammaproteobacteria; Pseudomonadales; Pseudomonadaceae. The record is from RNAcentral.